UGUAAGCCAGGUUGGUUUCUAUCUUUAAAUAAAAAUUAUAUUUUAGUACGAAAGGACCAAAUAUAUAAAUAAAAUUUUUAUUUUGAUAAAUAUUAUUAUUUUGGCAGAUUAGUGCAAUAGAUUUAGAAUCUUUAAAUAUAAUUUAUAAUUAUAAAUAA
RNAcentral lists this transfer RNA (158 nucleotides) under Barombiella vicina. RNAcentral's name for it is "partial tRNA-Leu". The record is from RNAcentral. Lineage: Eukaryota; Metazoa; Arthropoda; Insecta; Coleoptera; Chrysomelidae.